RNAcentral lists this ribosomal RNA (496 nucleotides) under uncultured bacterium. Its description in RNAcentral is "partial 16S ribosomal RNA". It matches the Rfam family "Bacterial small subunit ribosomal RNA", at positions 28 to 508 of the family's 1533-position model. The record is from RNAcentral.
GACGAACGCUGGCGGCGUGCCUAAUACAUGCAAGUAGAACGCUGAAGGAGGAGCUUGCUUCUCUGGAUGAGUUGCGAACGGGUGAGUAACGCGUAGGUAACCUGCCUGGUAGCGGGGGAUAACUAUUGGAAACGAUAGCUAAUACCGCAUAAGAGUAGAUGUCGCAUGACAUUUGCUUAAAAGGUGCAAUUGCAUCACUACCAGAUGGACCUGCGUUGUAUUAGCUAGUUGGUGAGGUAACGGCUCACCAAGGCAACGAUACAUAGCCGACCUGAGAGGGUGAUCGGCCACACUGGGACUGAGACACGGCCCAGACUCCUACGGGAGGCAGCAGUAGGGAAUCUUCGGCAAUGGACGGAAGUCUGACCGAGCAACGCCGCGUGAGUGAAGAAGGUUUUCGGAUCGUAAAGCUCUGUUGUAAGAGAAGAACGAGUGUGAGAGUGGAAAGUUCACACUGUGACGGUAUCUUACCAGAAAGGGACGGCUAACUACGUGC